This is a non-coding RNA of Mycena haematopus, 94 nucleotides long. Lineage: Eukaryota; Fungi; Basidiomycota; Agaricomycetes; Agaricales; Mycenaceae. The record is from the annotation of a GenBank genome assembly.
GGCCUUGUAGCUCAGCUGGGAGAGCAGCAGACUGAAGUAUGUUCGAUUACAACUCGGUAUCUGAAGGUCCGGUGUUCAAUCCACCGCAAGGCCA